UUGCUGCUGCCCAGCUCUGCCUGAAGCAGCAGUGGAUGCUGCAGGGAGCAGAGCCGCCGUUCCCUGCUCUGUCAGCCUGGGGGCAGCACAACCCGCAGGGACUGUGCUGUCCCUGUGUCACUGCCCGUGUCCCGAGCACACAGCGGGUCAGGGCAGCUCUGGGCAGGCACACACGGACAGUAACUCAGUGGAUUGCCUCCCAGGCUCUGCCCCAUGCCCAACUCCCGGCUGGGGGCACAGACCCUCCCAGCUUCCAGUGGUGGAACCAGGGACACCUAUUCUUAGUUAUUUAUUUCUGCUUGGCAAUUUACAAACAACCCAAGGUGCAAGAGAAAAGAAAAUACUUUCUGCUUUGUUCUUCAGUUAAUAAAACUUAAAUUUUAGUUAAAUCAGAUUUUGGGGUUGGAGUUGAAUAAUCAGGAGUAUGUAAAUAAAAAUUCCAAAUGCUGUUUUUUCCCAGCUUGUUUUACCUCAGAAACAGGACACAUAAAAGGAGAACCUGCGAAACAUCAAUAAAACAGUUGGUAGGAAAGUUAAA
Long non-coding RNA from Pseudopipra pipra, 538 nucleotides. RefSeq lists it as uncharacterized. The record is from RefSeq and is a predicted model, not a curated record. The transcript has 2 exons. Lineage: Eukaryota; Metazoa; Chordata; Aves; Passeriformes; Pipridae.